This 344-nucleotide unclassified non-coding RNA is filed under the name soil metagenome. Its description in RNAcentral is "partial contains 5.8S ribosomal RNA, internal transcribed spacer 2, and large subunit ribosomal RNA". The stretch from base 1 to 119 matches the Rfam family "5.8S ribosomal RNA", at positions 35 to 154 of the family's 154-position model. The record is from RNAcentral.
GAUGAAGAACGCAGCGAAAUGCGAUACGUAAUGUGAAUUGCAGAAUUCAGUGAAUCAUCGAGUCUUGAACGCACAUUGCGCCCCCUGGUAUUCCGGGGGGCAUGCCUGUCCGAGCGUCAUUGCUGCCCUCAAGCACGGCUUGUGUGUUGGGCCUCCGUCCUCCUCCCGGGGGACGGGCCCGAAAGGCAGCGGCGGCACCGCGUCCGGUCCUCGAGCGUAUGGGGCUUCGUCACCCGCUCUUGUAGGCCCGGCCGGCGCUUGCCGACACAUCAAUCUUUUUUCCAGGUUGACCUCGGAUCAGGUAGGGAUACCCGCUGAACUUAAGCAUAUCAAUAAGCGGAGGA